UGCGUAGGUAGUUUCUUAAGUCAGAGGUGAAAGGCUACGGCUCAACCGUAGUAAGCCUUUGAAACUGGGAAACUUGAGUGCAGGAGAGGAGAGUGGAAUUCCUAGUGUAGCGGUGAAAUGCGUAGAUAUUAGGAGGAACACCAGUUGCGAAGGCGGCUCUCUGGACUGUAACUGACACUGAGGCACGAAAGCGUGGGGAGCAAACA
Molecule: ribosomal RNA, 206 nt
Filed under: uncultured bacterium
Lineage: Bacteria
Description: partial 16S ribosomal RNA
Rfam family: Bacterial small subunit ribosomal RNA
Source: RNAcentral